UUCCCUCCGCGCCGAGCGCUGCGCGUCGUCGGCGACGGCAGCGGUCGGCCAGACGCGUCCCGCCUGUCCUGUGUGAGCCGUCCUUUCCGAGAGCGUGCCGGGGGAGAGGCCGCCGGCCGCCGCCCCGGGUCGGGACGGUGCUGCCGGAGACUCGCCGAGGCUUCGCACUUGCUUUUGCAGAACGUGGAAGUUAGAUGAUAAUCUACGAAGUGCUGAAUCGGAAGGCAGACUCCAGCCAAAAUUAAAAGUCGCCAAGCCUCCUAUUUAAGUGCACCUCUGUACUUGUUAAGAAACAGCAGGAAAGGACCUCGCCAAGUUGCCUCCGCUGGCCGCGAACUUGAGAUCCUCCUGCCUCAGCCUCCCAAGUCACUGGAACUUGAGGCCUGCGUCACCGUACCCCACUGCUGCUGCCUUUUGUGUGUGUGUGUGUGUGUGUGUGUGUGUGUGUGUGUGUGUUUACGGAGUUCUGAGACAGCUGGUAAGCUGGGUAUUUACAGGGCUCAUACUAUGAAAUUGUAGUACCAAAGUGCGUGGACCUUAAAGAUGACCUUUUACUCUUAUGUAGACCAGUCUGCCCCUGUUCCAGUCCUAGCCCUCGGUUGGCUGGCUGUAACCCUGGGCACUUUAUCCCUCAGAGAGUCACUUUCUCAUGCAUGAAAUGGGAACAACAAGUAGCAGCACCUGUUGGCCAGUGUCAUGAAGGUUAGGCUUUGAGGAUGGUGACCCACGGGGCAGUGUCUGAUAAGCUUCCCUGUGGAAGCAGCCUUCGGACUCUUCAGAGGCAGCCAGAUCUCUUUCACUUACAGCCAGUAAUUUCAUGGGGUCAGAAAUGGACACCUGAUAAGAAUAGCCAGCCCACAGCUGGUGAGCAUUCAUGAAAAGAUGGUCCGAGGGUUCCCACAUGUGCCUCGUUGUAAGAAUUGCCUGGUAAAAGUGAUGGAAUCCAGAGUCCUCCACCCCAGCUUCACCUACAGGAUCAGCCUAGAUGGAGGGGAACUGGAAGCUGCAGUUCUUAUUUUGUCCUCUGACAAUACACUCAUUCUUGGGGAAAACUUGAAAAAUACUGAUCCAAGCCAAUGAGUUUCUUUCCAGGGAAUUUAAAAUAGGAAAUGUGAAUAAACUGGGAAUUUGCCUCAGAAAUUGAAUCUGAAAAUAUACAAAUUUUCCACAGAAACAAAAAGAAGUAAAAACUGCAAGAAAAUAAAAUGUGAAGUAAAAGGCAAGAAUUGAGCCGUGUGGAGGGCUGGGGAGAUAGCUCAGUUGGUAGAGUGUUUGCCUCGCAAGCACAAGGCCCUGGGUUCAAUCCCCAGUACCGCAAAAAAAAAAAAAAAAAGUGUGGGCCACACACCAUAUCAGGAGUCUUCAGGGAGGAGCAGAACAGGCAUCAUCCCUACCAGCAUGUAGUUGGUUGGCAUGAAAGUUCAUGUCUGUCAAUAAAAUUCGUGCAGCUGUUGUCCAAAUGCUUUCUUACCCCAGAAUCUAUAUGUUGAAGCAUAAUUCCAGGGUGAUAGUAUUAAGACGGCCUUUUGAGAGGUGAUCAGGACAUGAGGGCAGAGCUCUCUUCAGUGACAUUAGUGCCAUUAAGAAAGAGUUCUGUUGGGCAUAGUAUCCCAUGCCUACAAUUCCAGCUGCUCCCAGGAGGCUGAGACUGGAAGAUUUUGCAUUGAAAGCCAGCCUCAGCAAUUUAGUGAGGUCCUAAGCAACUGAGACCAUCUCAAAAUUAAAAUAUGUAUUAAAAUAUAUACACACAUACAUACAUACAUAUGCAUGAAAACGGCUGGUGAUGUGGUUCAGUGGUUAAGCACCCCUGGUUUCGAUCCCUAGUGCCAAAAAAAAAAAAAAGAGUCCUGAGCCAGGUAUUGGCCCAUGCCAAUAAUUCCAGUGGCUCUAGAGGAUGAAG
Long non-coding RNA from Sciurus carolinensis (gray squirrel), 1900 nucleotides. RefSeq lists it as uncharacterized. The record is from RefSeq and is a predicted model, not a curated record. The transcript has 2 exons. NCBI's taxonomy places the organism in Eukaryota, Metazoa, Chordata, Mammalia, Rodentia, Sciuridae.